This 253-nucleotide ribosomal RNA is filed under the name uncultured bacterium. RNAcentral's name for it is "partial 16S ribosomal RNA". It matches the Rfam family "Bacterial small subunit ribosomal RNA", at positions 524 to 776 of the family's 1533-position model. The record is from RNAcentral.
UACGUAGGGUGCGAGCGUUGUCCGGAAUUACUGGGCGUAAAGAGCUUGUAGGUGGUUUGUCGCGUUGUCCGUGAAAACUCACAACUCAAUUGUGGGCGUGCGGGCGAUACGGGCAGACUGGAGUACUGCAGGGGAGACUGGAAUUCCUGGUGCAGCGGUGGAAUGCGCAGACAUCAGGAGGAACACCGGUGGCGAAGGCGGGUCUCUGGGCAGUAACUGACGCUGAGGAGCGAAAGCGUGGGGAGCGAACAGG